This 335-nucleotide long non-coding RNA is filed under the name Homo sapiens (human). RNAcentral's name for it is "HSALNT0221173". Lineage: Eukaryota; Metazoa; Chordata; Mammalia; Primates; Hominidae. The record is from RNAcentral.
GUCAGAGGGCUUAGACAUGGAGGGGACAGAAGAUUUCCAUGCGCACUCUCAUCUCUUGUAGUCAGCAACAGGUAUCUGUGCGGAGGGCUCUGGAUCAUCCGCUACCCUGAAGGAUCUGGAAAGCAGAUACCAAGAGGUAACAGUCGCCCUGGACUCGAGUUAUAUAACAAUCAGUCGACGGAAUAAAACCAUCGAGUCAUUGGAAAAGCAAGAAAGCCAGCAAAACCGGGGAGCCCUAAAGAGGCAAUUACAGGUUCAAUUCAGAUAAUUAGAGUCUUGAUGUUUGAGAAAGCAGAAUUGAAGACAACACUGUAUCACAAUGAACGUGCUGCCAG